GAUGAAGAACGUAGCGAAAUGCGAUACGUAAUGUGAAUUGCAAAUUCAGUGAAUCAUCGAGUCGUUGAACGCACAUUGCGCCCCCUGGUAUUCCGGGGGGCAUGCCUGUCCGAGCGUCAUUGCUGCCCUCAAGCACGGCUUGUGUGUUGGGCCCCGUCCUCCGAUCCCGGGGGACGGGCCCGAAAGGCAGCGGCGGCACCGCGUCCGGUCCUCGAGCGUAUGGGGCUUUGUCACCCGCUCUGUAGGCCCGGCCGGCGCUUGCCGAUCAACCCAAAUUUUUAUCCAGGUUGACCUCGGAUCAGGUAGGGAUACCCGCUGAACUUAAGCAUAUCAAUAAGCGGAGGA
This 345-nucleotide unclassified non-coding RNA is filed under the name soil metagenome. Its description in RNAcentral is "partial contains 5.8S ribosomal RNA, internal transcribed spacer 2, and large subunit ribosomal RNA". The stretch from base 1 to 119 matches the Rfam family "5.8S ribosomal RNA", at positions 35 to 154 of the family's 154-position model. The record is from RNAcentral.